GCCACACCUGACUUCCAUUUACCAUCAAGCUCAGUAUAAGAAACCCGGCUCUCCGGUCUCUCAUCACCAGAUUGUUUCCGCUCUCUACGUGCACCUACAUAGGCUGAGCCUGCCUCCUGCUGAUCUGCUGCCAUUGCCUGGCACAAAUUCCCCACCACCAGAUGCCAUCUGCUUCCACCAGGAUAACCACCUCACCACCUUGUUUUACUCACUUCACUUGCAAGUACUGGGAUAAAAUAAAACUAGAUACUCCAA
Long non-coding RNA from Perca flavescens (yellow perch), 255 nucleotides. RefSeq lists it as uncharacterized. The transcript has 2 exons. The record is from RefSeq and is a predicted model, not a curated record. NCBI's taxonomy places the organism in Eukaryota, Metazoa, Chordata, Actinopteri, Perciformes, Percidae.